UCCGGUGGUGUGAGAUGGACCCGCGUCUGAUUAGCAGUUGGCGGGGUAACGGCCCACCAAAGCGACGAUCAGUAGCCGGCCUGAGAGGGUGAACGGCCACAUUGGGACUGAGACACGGCCCAAACUCCUACGGGAGGCAGCAUG
RNAcentral lists this ribosomal RNA (144 nucleotides) under uncultured bacterium. Its description in RNAcentral is "partial 16S ribosomal RNA". It matches the Rfam family "Bacterial small subunit ribosomal RNA", at positions 211 to 353 of the family's 1533-position model. The record is from RNAcentral.